Small nuclear RNA from Tupaia belangeri (northern tree shrew), 163 nucleotides. Its record names the gene U1. It matches the Rfam family "U1 spliceosomal RNA". Rfam says of the family: U1 is a small nuclear RNA (snRNA) component of the spliceosome (involved in pre-mRNA splicing). Its 5' end forms complementary base pairs with the 5' splice junction, thus defining the 5' donor site of an intron. NCBI's taxonomy places the organism in Eukaryota, Metazoa, Chordata, Mammalia, Scandentia, Tupaiidae. The record is from Ensembl.
AUACUUACCUGGCAGGGGAGAUACCAUGAUCACGAAGGUGGUUUCCCAGGGCGAGGCUUAUCCAUGGCACCCCGGAUGUGCUGACCCCUGCGAUUUCUCCAAAUGUGGGAAACUUGACUGCAUAAUUUGUGGUAGUGGGGGACUGCGUUCGCGCUUUCCCCUA